This is a non-coding RNA of Aphanizomenon flos-aquae, 275 nucleotides long. NCBI's taxonomy places the organism in Bacteria, Bacillati, Cyanobacteriota, Cyanophyceae, Nostocales, Aphanizomenonaceae. The record is from Rfam.
GUCAGUAACCCAGCCCUAAAGGGACUGGGCUUGCAAGAGUAAUCAAGCAAGCCGUACUGACCAGACCACCCUGAGUUUACUCUCAUGGUAGCCGUUAUUUGAGUCACGACACCCACCGAAUGCGUUCGCGCCAGCGUGCCGUCAGGCAUAGCCAGUUCCCUGCCCUGUCGCUUGUGAUUAAACAGUUCUAAGGUCACUGGAACAGUGUUGCAAGCUCAAGCAAGCUCUUAUAACAGGUCGUUCGCGCAGCGUGCCGUAGCAUCGGCUAACAUUAC